ACUCAAAUGAAUUGACGGGGGCCCGCACAAGCGGUGGAGCAUGUGGUUUAAUUCGAUGCAACGCGAAGAACCUUACCAGGUCUUGACAUCCAGAGAAUUCUUAGGAAACUAGGGAGUGCCAUUUGGAGCUCUGAGACAGGUGGUGCAUGGUUGUCGUCAGCUCGUGUCGUGAGAUGUUGGGUUAAGUCCCGCAACGAGCGCAACCCUUGCUAUUAGUUGCUAACAGGUAGAGCUGAGCACUCUAAUGGGACCGCCCGUGACAAGCGGGAGGAAGGUGGGGAUGACGUCAAAUCAUCAUGCCCUUUAUGAUCUGGGCGACACACGUGCUACAAUGGAUGGUACAGAGAGCAGCGAAGUUGUGAAGCGAAGCGAAUCUCAAAAAGCCAUUCUCAGUUCGGAUUGUAGUCUGCAACUCGACUACAUGAAGUCGGAAUCGCUAGUAAUCGCGAAUCAGCAUGUCGCGGUGAAUGCGUUCCCGGGCCUUGUACACACCGCCCGU
RNAcentral lists this ribosomal RNA (499 nucleotides) under uncultured bacterium. RNAcentral describes it as "bacterial SSU rRNA". It matches the Rfam family "Bacterial small subunit ribosomal RNA", at positions 899 to 1397 of the family's 1533-position model. The record is from RNAcentral.